CAAGACACUCAAUUGCAAAGCCUGUUGGUUGUGAUUGUGUUUGCUCUGCAAACAUUGUUCCUUGUUAAAUGGAGAGGAGAAAGAAGAAGGUGGAACUCAAAGUUUGGUCCUUGACUGAAUAUGAAACUGAUUCUUCUUAAGCUGGGGAAAAGUUCUUAUGGCCAUCCCUUUCUGCCUCCAGUUACUUACAUCUCCAUCUAUCCUCCUGGUUUGGAGAUUAAACAUGGGAAGAGGACAGGAGAAGUGGUGCUGCAUAAAGCUUGUUAAUAAAUUGGCCUUUUCAAGUACUGUUUUAGAGGAUAACAUUUCUCAGUUACUCAUCGAAUGCUUCCAUGGAACAGCAGCAAGC
Apus apus (common swift) is the source of this 349-nucleotide long non-coding RNA. RefSeq lists it as uncharacterized. The record is from RefSeq and is a predicted model, not a curated record. NCBI's taxonomy places the organism in Eukaryota, Metazoa, Chordata, Aves, Apodiformes, Apodidae. The transcript is spliced from 5 exons.